UACGAGGGGGGCGAGCGUUGUUCGGAAUUAUUGGGCGUAAAGGGCGCGUAGGCGGUCGGAUAAGUCUUGUGUGAAAUCUUCGGGCUCGACUCGAAGUCUGCACAGGAAACUAUCUGGCUUGAGUGUGGGAGAGGUGAGUGGAAUUCCUGGUGUAGCGGUGAAAUGCGUAGAUAUCAGGAGGAACACCUGUGGCGAAAGCGGCUCACUGGACCACAACUGACGCUGAGGCGCGAAAGCUAGGGGAGCAAACAGG
Molecule: ribosomal RNA, 253 nt
Filed under: uncultured bacterium
Lineage: Bacteria
Description: partial 16S ribosomal RNA
Rfam family: Bacterial small subunit ribosomal RNA
Source: RNAcentral